This 1066-nucleotide long non-coding RNA is filed under the name Mytilus galloprovincialis (Mediterranean mussel). Lineage: Eukaryota; Metazoa; Mollusca; Bivalvia; Mytilida; Mytilidae. The record is from RNAcentral.
AUCACUGAUUUUGUUCUCGAUUUUAUACCAAGCGUCUUUCAAUUUUGUAUGAUAUUGAAAACUUGUAUUUGCAAUUCUGUAUUAUAUUUCAGCAUUUUUCUAAUUUGAAUAGAAUAAUGUGAAACUGAUGAACGAUUUGACACGUUUAUAAUUCAACCUUGAAAGUCAGAAACUAUUUAUAUUGAGGGUGUUAAACGAUAUAUAGACGUCUUAAUGUGUAACCAUCAUGUACUAUCUUGUAAACAUAAAUGAAUCAUAUACAACAAAAAAGAACAUCAGAAUAUAAAUUUCGUAUAACCCUGUUGACCUUGUUGGUAGGGUGCUACACAAGUGCAGUAGGAGUUGCCAGAAUUUAUAAGAGAUUCAAAUCCUGCAGAAAAGACACAGUUUUGCUAUAACAAAUUUGAAGAUGCUUUGUAUGCCUCUAUAAGCCCAUUUUAUAUUUCUAAAUAUUGUUAUCUUCAUUUUUAUUUUUUCAACGUUAUAGAUAAAAACUGUUGUUGCCCGAACAAUGUAAGCAAUGUAUUUGUUCUACUGGUAUUUGGAUGUAUACACACAAAUGCAAAAAUGAUCGUUGCGUGACUAUUAUGUUUAUGUAUAUUUUUACUACCAAUCAUUAAAGAAUUUUUAAUUUUUAAUGUAAACAGUUAUAAUGUAUGUAUUACAACCAUGAUUAACACGUCUGUAAGUGUAUUUUUUCAUCUUUUUUUAACUUGUGAAUUGUAUUUAAGGAUGUACACCUCUGAGGAGCCAAAAAUUUCUAGAAUUAAACUUUUUUUCUUAACCUGAUUUUUGGUUAAAGACUGUAACAAAAUAAUUGGUGAAGAAAAAAUCACAUGGUGGUGCACUUCUUUUUUUGCUACGGCCCUUUGAAAAUGCCCAAUUUUGAUGAUUUUCCCAUUUUUCAUUGAUGUUUACCUAUUUUUGGGCUAUUAGAGUGAAAAAAGUCACAGUUCCACAAUUAAACUUUUUUUCCAUACUUUCUAUAAAGAUGAAAUGGACCAAUCCGCAUAAAUUUUACUUAAAAAAACUAUAGGUAGGUGUUAAUAUAAGAAAGUUUUAUCAU